UACGUAGGGUGCGAGCGUUAAUCGGAAUUACUGGGCGUAAAGCGUGCGCAGGCGGUCUGUUAUGUCUGAUGUGAAAGCCCCGGGCUCAACCUGGGAAUGGCAUUGGAAACUGGCAGGCUCGAGUUUGGCAGAGGGGGGUGGAAUUCCGCGUGUAGCAGUGAAAUGCGUAGAGAUGCGGAGGAACACCGAUGGCGAAGGCAGCCCCCUGGGCUAAGACUGACGCUCAGGCACGAAAGCGUGGGGAGCAAACAGG
This 253-nucleotide ribosomal RNA is filed under the name uncultured bacterium. RNAcentral's name for it is "partial 16S ribosomal RNA". It matches the Rfam family "Bacterial small subunit ribosomal RNA", at positions 524 to 776 of the family's 1533-position model. The record is from RNAcentral.